This 254-nucleotide ribosomal RNA is filed under the name uncultured bacterium. RNAcentral describes it as "partial 16S ribosomal RNA". It matches the Rfam family "Bacterial small subunit ribosomal RNA", at positions 524 to 776 of the family's 1533-position model. The record is from RNAcentral.
UACGUAGGGACCAGGCGUUGUUCGGAUUUACUGGGCGUAAAGGGCGCGUAGGCGGCAAUUCAAGUCAUCUGUGAAAUCUCCGGGCUUAACCCGGAACGGUCAGAUGAUACUGCUUUGCUAGAGUGCGGAAGGGGCAAUCGGAAUUCUUGGUGUAGCGGUGAAAUGCGUAGAUAUCAAGAGGAACACCUGAGGUGAAGACGGGUUGCUGGGCCGACACUGACGCUGAUAGCGCGAAAGCCAGGGGAGCAAACGGG